CAGUCGCCGCGGGAAUACGAAGGGGGCUAGCGUUGCUCGGGAUCACUGGGCGUAAAGGGUGCGUAGGCGGGUCUUUAAGUCAGGGGUGAAAUCCUGGAGCUCAACUCCAGAACUGCCUUUGAUACUGAAGAUCUUGAGUUCGGGAGAGGUGAGUGGAACUGCGAGUGUAGAGGUGAAAUUCGUAGAUAUUCGCAAGAACACCAGUGGCGAAGGCGGCUCACUGGCCCGAUACUGACGCUGAGGCACGAAAGCGUGGGGAGCAAACAGGAUUAGAUACCCCGGUAGUCCCUGUCUCUUAUAC
RNAcentral lists this ribosomal RNA (301 nucleotides) under uncultured bacterium. Its description in RNAcentral is "partial 16S ribosomal RNA". It matches the Rfam family "Bacterial small subunit ribosomal RNA", at positions 509 to 807 of the family's 1533-position model. The record is from RNAcentral.